RNAcentral lists this ribosomal RNA (423 nucleotides) under uncultured beta proteobacterium. RNAcentral's name for it is "bacterial SSU rRNA". It matches the Rfam family "Bacterial small subunit ribosomal RNA", at positions 608 to 1029 of the family's 1533-position model. The record is from RNAcentral. Lineage: Bacteria; Pseudomonadati; Pseudomonadota; Betaproteobacteria.
CUCAACCUGGGAACUGCAUUGGUGACUGGCAGGCUAGAGUAUGGCAGAGGGGGGUAGAAUUCCACGUGUAGCAGUGAAAUGCGUAGAGAUGUGGAGGAAUACCGAUGGCGAAGGCAGCCCCCUGGGCCAAUACUGACGCUCAUGCACGAAAGCGUGGGGAGCAAACAGGAUUAGAUACCCUGGUAGUCCACGCCCUAAACGAUGUCAACUAGUUGUUGGGGAUUCAUUUCCUUAGUAACGUUGCUAACGCGUGACGUUGACCGCCUGGGGAGUACGGUCGCAAGAUUAAAACUCAAAGGAAUUGACGGGGACCCGCACAAGCGGUGGAUGAUGUGGAUUAAUUCGAUGCAACGCGAAAAACCUUACCUACCCUUGACAUGGUCGGAAUCCCGCUGAGAGGUGGGAGUGCUCGAAAGAGAACCG